GGCCUUUUCCUCCCCAGGACAGCCUGCAGGUGUGCCACCUGCGGCAUGGUCGGAAGCGCGACCGUUGAGGAUGAUGCCACCGAGGGGCUCGCGGCGGGCAGCGGGUGACCGUGGAUACGCGACCCAGGUGGAGGAACCUACUACUGCUGACACUGUCAUGGCAGGUACGAGUUACUUAAGCAAGCAUAUGCUUCUACCUAAUAUUGGACUGUUGCAUAGCAUGCAUUUAUCAUAUGGUCAGCAGCUACUAUUUACAUAUUGCAUAGUAGGGACCGAGUGGUCGGGUAGGUGGACACCCGAGCAUGCUUGCGUCGUGAGAGUGUAGCGCCUGCUGGAGCAGGUAGAGAGCCAUGUAGUACUAACAAAUUGUUAGUGAUAGUUCCUGGACAAGAAAUGAGACUCGCAGUGAACGGGAAACGGUGAAGCGGCUCUCAAGGCAAUGAGAACCAGAUUGCGAGAGUUGCGCCGUGACGUUGAGGAUACCCUGGUAGUUCGAGCAUUUUGAAUAUGGUUCGGUAGAUCGAACAGUGAGAGUAGGAUCACUGUUGAGAAAAUAGCCAGAUAGUUAUCGAGCACGAGCAUGUGGGCCUAAUAACACCCUGAGUUGAGGUGGGCGAGUAGUGCUCGUGUAGUUGGUGUGCAUAGGCAGGUGGCCUACUGCUUGGCUUAGUUGAAACGCUAUAGAGGCGUAGAGCGCUCGAGUAUAGGUACUCGUAGAGCAUGUCGUGUAGGACGACGUUGGCGGGUAUUGCUUGGGGACGACCCGUGCCUGGACCAUUUGUGGACUGUGAAGCCUAGGCCCAUUGGGCAGGCGCAGUCAGCUGUGAGAGACAGCGGCCCUGUACCUAUAGAUAGGGCAGAGAGUUGGUCAGGACGGUAGUCCGAGCUUAGACCCGGGUGCGUGGAAUGCCACGUGUUGGAUCGUGAGAUCGAGGAUACACCUAGUGUGUUGUGACCCAACCCGAGGACUUGACGUGGUUUGGGGUCUUGGUUGCUCCUGUUUGGAGUGGGUGCGAAUUCCCAAGUGAGAAUUUUGCCCGAAAAUUGAGGAUUGGGUCUACGUUGCGAGCAGGAAAUGCUACGCAUAGUUGAGACACGUUAGGCGAUAGACCUACGUAGUGUUUGCGACCGUUGGUGUACCUGUGAAAGCCGACGUAAUCGGUUUAGCCAAUAACUCUGUGGAGGAGUUAGAGUAAGGAGAUGAAUUCUCAAAAUACGAGAGUUGAACUUCGCUCGAGAUCGACUAAUUGUCGAGUGGGAGAGCUUCGCGAAAGUCGAAGAAGUCAAAUGUACCAAAAGUGCAUUGCAAUGGAGUCCGCGAGAGCAAAUGGUGCAAGAAUCUGCACUUGGCAGAUUUGCUCUCGGGGACCGGUCCCUGGCGGGAGGGACCGGUUCCCGAAUGUGGUCUGCGCGAGCUUGCUCUCGGGGACCGGUCCCAGACAGGAAAGGACCGGUUGCCCCGAGGCUAAGGGUCGCGCAGCGCGGGGCAACCGGUCCCAGGUAAGGGAGAGACCGGUCCCCGAGUGUGGCAUUUGCCCAGGUAGGCUGGGUUAUGUUGGAGGAAUUGAGGAACUUGAGGAUAAUGCUCUAUUAUGGAUUCAGAAUCGAGAUGCGCCGGAGUAGGCCAUCUCUUGAUAGAGCAAAGAUCCAAAUAUGAUUUGAACACUCACGAUGAAGCGAUGCACAAUGAUAUUGCCUUCAAGCAAGAUUGGUAAUCGAAUUGUCAUACCCUGAGGGGAAAGUAAAUGCAAACAGAAGUUCUUGCAUGUCAAGUGGUGAAUGGUGUUGAAGCGCGUAGUGUUGUUGAGUUUCAACUUGCGCUACCACCAAGAAUGACGGAGACCCGUAAUGCACUUUUGGAAUUACACACGGCAAAUGUGAGUGAGUCUAGUCUCACGUCCUCCGUAGUGAGCCUUUGGAUAGUUCCAAUGAGCGAAAGGCCACUCCGAGAUGCAAAAGUGCAUUGUACCCCCUUGUCACUCAAUAAAGAGAAUUAGAGUGUGAAUUGGGUUGAAGUGAGUGAGUUUCGGGGCCGAAACUCUUAUUAAGGAGGGGAGGAUGUAAGGUACCGGACUUCUAAAACUGUGAAGUUACGGUGUGCAUUUAAAUGGUUCCGGUGAGGUUGCGGUGGAAUGUAACAUACCGGAUUUUAAAUAUAAAAAUGAAAAUAAAUAAAAAUAGUAUGAGAUACUAUUUUUAUUGGAUUUAGAGAAGUGAAAUAUAAGUUGGGAAUGACCUGUGCUGAAAUCAGAGCGAAAACAGAAGAUUUAGAAUUUUCUGUUGGAAACGGGGCAGAUAAAUUAGCAGAAAAUGCACAGUCUCAGAAAAUUAUGAAAAUUGGCAGAGAUGUCAGAAAUAUUUUUAUGAGGCUAGAUUUAAGGUUUCAUAUUUUUCUGACACCCGUAGAGAGAGAAAUAGAAUCCGAAAGCUAUCUGAUAAAGAUUGCAGUUCGGUACAGUUUUCAGUGACCAAACGGGGUCGAAACUGAAAUAUUAAAAUUUCUUUGGACUUAUUAAGUGAAACCGAACAUGCCUGUCAAAUUUGAGCGAAAACGGACAUCCGGAAGGGCUCCAACGAAAUUUAUCAGAUUUCAAGCUGCCCGAAGUGAAUAGUGCGUAGUUGAGGGGCAAAAUGGUAAAAAGGGUUUAAAACCCCUUUUCUUCUUCUCCUCCCAACCGUGGCUGCCCCAACCGCACACACCACACACGCAUACACAAGAACACACACGCAUGGAAAGGAAAGGAGAGAAAUCCCUUUCUCUCUCUAAAUCUCUCCCAAAAUGGAUGGAUUUGGUGGAGAUUGAAGCUUGGAGGUGGAUCGCCUUCGUCUUCUUCAUCUUCUCCAUGAUUUGGAGCUAAUUUUGAGGUAAGCUUUUGCUACCCUUUAAUGGUAGAUCCUUAAUGGUUGGUUUAAAUAGCUUAGAAAUGGAUUUAGAGGAAUCCUAGCAUGCUAUCUAGAUGAUUGAUGCUUAAUUCGUGAAGGGAUUUGAUGAUUUCUUGCAUAGUUGCAACCUGGGGCUCCAAAAUGUAAUUUUUGCUAAUAGAUGGGUUUGAUCUAUUUUGACCCUAUGUAAACCUAAUUGCUAGGUAACGAAACGCGUUGGCGAAGACGGUUCGGCAAUCCGACGAGCCGUUACAAAGUUAUUAAAGAAAUGGACGUUUAGGCUUCGUUUCCGCCUGGAGGGCCGAGGCGAUGUCGUAAAAUCAUGAAAACGGAUUUGAAGCACCGUGGCACAUAACCGAAGACCUUUAAUUUCCGGAUCGCAAAUCGGAGAUCGUUUGGGUGGUCGCGCGAGAGUUCGAGCCAAACCGGGUCGCGGGUGUCGCGGGCGGCCGAUUGCAAGUGACUACAAGCAAUCGGAGAGUAAGUUAAGGUGGGUUGUGCUUACCGAAGCGACUAGGUCGCCCUUAUGUCUAAGAAUAUUAAGAAUUCGUGUUGAUGCAUAUAAGUGUUAAACAAUGCAUGUUAAUGUGAAUGCUAAGUAGAAAUGCAUAGUGAGCAAGUUACAUAAUGCUAGUAAUGCAUGAUAAUAAUGUAAUGCUAGUAAUGCAUGAUAUGAUGUAAAUGCUAAAGUAGAUGCAUAUAAAAGAUUAUAUAUAUGCAUGUAAACUAGAAGGAUGCAUGUAAAUAUAAUGCAUAGAAUGAAAUGCAUGUUGAUGACAUAGUCUAGAAAUGCUAAAUGUAAUGUGCAUGUUAAUAUGAUAAGAAACCAUGCUAGUAAGUGAAUGCAUAUUAAUACAUAUGUGUAUAAUGAGCAUGUUGGAUAAGAUUCGUGUACAUGUAGACUCGAGAUGACAAUAGGAUGUCAAGUAGAUCGAGUGGCACCUAACCUAGUGUUAAAGAACAUAGGUUGUGAAUGAAUCUAGAGUCAUGUGAACUAGAUCGAGUGGCAUCUAACCUAGUGUAUAAAACAUAGGUUGGACAUGAAUGACAAUGAACCUAGUGUUGUUGAACCUAGGAUGAAUCAUGAGUGGCAUCUAACCUAGUGUUAAAGGACAUAGGUUAUGGAUUGAACCUAGAGUUAAGUAAACCUAGGUUAUGUGAUAGAGACGUUGAACCUAGAGUCAGUUGGACCUAGGGUGAAAAGGACGUUGGACCUAGAUAGGUCAAUGCUAUAGGGUUUGAAACCAACCCUUGAGUUAUGAAAUGGAUUCCGGAAUCCCUAGUGAUGUGGCCGCACAUGGAGCGGUGGAAAUUGUGGUAAAAGAGAUGGCAAGCGAAUCAUAACUGCAGGUAUGUGUGGUUCUCCUCGCCUGGCAGUGAUUCAACGGGUAUGUGUGGUUCUCCUCGCCCGGGAUGCCAUGAGAAUAAGCUGGAAUUGGGUAUGUGUGGUUCUCCUCGCCCAUUAGCUUAUCGGAUGAUGCCGCCUAGGUUGACUUGAACCAUUGUUGGGUGAGAGCGAUGUGGUCGCUGCCAGAUGACUAAGUUAUGACUUGAACCAUUGUUGGGUGAGGUGCGAUGAGUUCGCCGCCAGAUGGCUAAGUCAUGACUUGAGUUGUUGUUGGGUGAGAGCGAUGAGUUCGCCGCCAGAUGGUUAAGUCAGAUCUGCGGUAGGCUGCGACGGCAGCCAGGCUGAGGUGCAGCCAGUGCGCGGACUAUCCGCGGAUGAUUGACUCGAGGCCGAGUCGGGUGGUUAGCUUGAUUAGGUUAAUGGGAACCUUAUAAGCUAGUGAUCGAGGCAAGAACCUGAGGUAAUAGAGACCUUAGAAGCAAGUUGAACUUGAGUUGAGAACAUAAGGUAAUGGAAACCUUACAAUUGAAUGAAAUGACCUAAAGUAGCAAAGUAAAUGUAGAAUUAACAUAUCUACUAGUUGUUUAUGCAGUUGCAUAGUUGCAUAAUGUUCAUAUUGCAUUUGCGAGGCAAGGUAUGGUUUUAUUAAUUGCAUAGUCAAAUAUCUAUCUAUCUGUUUAUUAAACUAACCUGCAGUUGCCUCCUUGGACCUAUUGGUCGAGCUCCUCCCUUGGGUGGCCGUACCCACUGGGAACCAUGGAGUUGGUUCUCACCCCACGUUGUUUUGGGGUGUUUCAGGUUCGCACGUGAGCGGCGCGGCGGCGCGAGGAAAGGGCGUAGCUCCAUAGAUAGCGCCCUACCCAGAGACCAGAGAUAGCAAUACCCCGUCGACAUAGCCUAGGGGUUUGGAAAAUGAAAAGAAUACAAUGUAUCAAUUUGUAAUAAGUAAAUGAUGUAAUAACUUAAUUGCAUUUGAGAGUUGGAUGUAAAGUAAAUGUAUUA
Molecule: long non-coding RNA, 5233 nt
Filed under: Ananas comosus (pineapple)
Lineage: Eukaryota; Viridiplantae; Streptophyta; Magnoliopsida; Poales; Bromeliaceae
Description: long non-coding RNA (ACOM_LNC042266)
Source: RNAcentral